CGUGGGUAUCAAACAGGAUUAGAUACCCUGGUAGUCCACGCAGUAAACGAUGAAUGCUAAUUGUCCGGGGCGAGUGAGCUCUGGGUGAUACAGCGAAAGCGUUAAGCAUUCCACCUGGGGAGUACGCCGGCAACGGUGAAACUCAAAGGAAUUGACGGGGGCCCGCACAAGCGGAGGAACAUGUGGUUUAAUUCGAUGAUACGCGAGGAACCUUACCCGGGCUCAAACGUAGCAGGAAUAAUUGAGAAAUCAGUUAGUUCUUCGGAACCUGCUACGAGGUGCUGCAUGGUUGUCGUCAGCUCGUGCCGUGAGGUGUCGGCUUAAGUGCCAUAACGAGCGCAACCCCCAUCGACAGUUGCUAACAGAUCAAGCUGAGGACUCUGUCGAGACUGCCGGCGCAAGCUGUGAGGAAGGCGGGGAUGACGUCAAAUCAGCACGGCCCUUACGUCCGGGGCGACACACGUGUUACAAUGGCGGGGACAGCGGGAAGCCACCUGGCGACAGGGAGCGGAACCCGAAACCCCGUCUCAGUUCGGAUUGGAGUCUGCAACCCGACUCCAUGAAGCUGGAUUCGCUAGUAAUC
This 583-nucleotide ribosomal RNA is filed under the name uncultured bacterium. RNAcentral's name for it is "bacterial SSU rRNA". It matches the Rfam family "Bacterial small subunit ribosomal RNA", at positions 760 to 1343 of the family's 1533-position model. The record is from RNAcentral.